GAUUAAUUCGAUGCAACGCGAAGAACCUUACCUGGGUUUGACAUACACCGGAAAGCCGUGGAGACACGGCCCCCCUUGUGGUCGGUGUACAGGUGGUGCAUGGCUGUCGUCAGCUCGUGUCGUGAGAUGUUGGGUUAAGUCCCGCAACGAGCGCAACCCUUGUCCUGUGUUGCCAGCGGAUUAUGCCGGGGACUCGCAGGAGACUGCCGGGGUCAACUCGGAGGAAGGUGGGGACGACGUCAAGUCAUCAUGCCCCUUAUGUCCAGGGCUUCACACAUGCUACAAUGGCCGGUACAGAGGGCUGCGAUACCGUGAGGUGGAGCGAAUCCCUUAAAGCCGGUCUCAGUUCGGAUCGGGGUCUGCAACUCGACCCCGUGAAGUCGGAGUCGCUAGUAAUCGCAGAUCAGCAACGCUGCGGUGAAUACGUUCCCGGGCCUUGUACACACCGCCCGUCACGUCAUGAAAGUCGGUAACACCCGAAGCCGGUGGCCUAACCCUUGUGAAGGGAGCCGUCGAAGGUGGGGAUACGGCCGAGUUGGAACCGAAGGCUAAAACAGGUAGCCCGCA
This 567-nucleotide ribosomal RNA is filed under the name Rhodococcoides kroppenstedtii. RNAcentral's name for it is "bacterial SSU rRNA". It matches the Rfam family "Bacterial small subunit ribosomal RNA", at positions 944 to 1504 of the family's 1533-position model. The record is from RNAcentral. Lineage: Bacteria; Bacillati; Actinomycetota; Actinomycetes; Mycobacteriales; Nocardiaceae.